Long non-coding RNA from Plodia interpunctella (Indianmeal moth), 275 nucleotides. RefSeq lists it as uncharacterized. The transcript has 2 exons. The record is from RefSeq and is a predicted model, not a curated record. NCBI's taxonomy places the organism in Eukaryota, Metazoa, Arthropoda, Insecta, Lepidoptera, Pyralidae.
AUUCAUAGAGAAGCUCCAAGAAGUGUUGGACGGUAACCGUGCAGUGACCAUAGUGUUGGACGACCCCGCUGGUAACUCGUAUGUUCAGAGCUUGGCCGACGACCCGACCACACCAGACGAAGGUGUUAAGAUAACGAGAUACGAGCGCUCACACGAACAGAACGAGGAGCUAGGACUCAAUGAUAUGAAGACUGAAGGAUACGAGGAAAGCUAGCGGGCGUCAUUACGUUUUAAUGUAUUUUAACCCAAGCAGAGAAUAAAUAUAUUUGUUUAUU